RNAcentral lists this ribosomal RNA (543 nucleotides) under Scaptomyza nr. inflatus RL-2013. Its description in RNAcentral is "partial 16S ribosomal RNA". It matches the Rfam family "Bacterial large subunit ribosomal RNA", at positions 1806 to 2619 of the family's 2925-position model. Lineage: Eukaryota; Metazoa; Arthropoda; Insecta; Diptera; Drosophilidae. The record is from RNAcentral.
AACAAAAACAUGUCUUUUUGAAUUAAAUUUAAAGUCUAACCUGCCCACUGAAAUUUUUAAAUGGCCGCAGUAUCCUAACUGUGCAAAGGUAGCAUAAUCAUUAGUCUUUUAAUUGAAGGCUGGAAUGAAUGGUUGGACGAAAUAUUAACUGUUUCAUUUAAAUUUUUUAUAGAAUUUUAUUUUUUAGUCAAAAAGCUAAAAUUUAUUUAAAAGACGAGAAGACCCUAUAAAUCUUUAUAUUUUAUUUAUUUUAAUUAUAAAGAUUAUUUUCAUUAUAAUAAAUUAAAAUAUUUUAUUGGGGUGAUAUUAAAAUUUAAAAAACUUUUAAUUUUAAAAACCAUUAAUUUAUGAAUAAUUGAUCCAUUAAUAAUGAUUAAAAAUUUAAGUUACUUUAGGGAUAACAGCGUAAUUUUUUUGGAGAGUUCAUAUCGAUAAAAAAGAUUGCGACCUCGAUGUUGGAUUAAGAUAUAAUUUUAGGUGUAGCCGCUUAAAUUUUAAGUCUGUUCGACUUUUAAAUUCUUACGUGAUCUGAGUUCAAACCGG